This 253-nucleotide ribosomal RNA is filed under the name uncultured bacterium. Its description in RNAcentral is "partial 16S ribosomal RNA". It matches the Rfam family "Bacterial small subunit ribosomal RNA", at positions 524 to 776 of the family's 1533-position model. The record is from RNAcentral.
UACGGAGGGGGCUAGCGUUGUUCGGAAUUACUGGGCGUAAAGCGCACGUAGGCGGCUUUGUAAGUUAGAGGUGAAAGCCCGGAGCUCAACUCCGGAACUGCCUUUGAUACUGAAAAUCUUGAGUCCGGGAGAGGUGAGUGGAACUGCGAGUGUAGAGGUGAAAUUCGUAGAUAUUCGCAAGAACACCAGUGGCGAAGGCGGCUCACUGGCCCGGUACUGACGCUGAGGCACGAAAGCGUGGGGAGCAAACAGG